CGUUGUUGUAACAAGGAAAAUGAUUUAGUUAGUAAGCCAGCGAAACCAGGGAGUUGGUGGACCUGAAAGACCACUUUAACUAAGCACGGUUUUAAGCUCCUUUUCUCAUUAGGCAAGGGGGAGACAGAGGGAAAUGUUAGGAAAUCAUUGAUAACUAAAGACUCCCAUGUACCUCUCUGGUGAUUGGGAAUGGUUAUAAAACCUGGUGGCUGGUGAUCUGUUGAUUUGACACACAGUCAUGAUGCCCUUUAUUAUAUCUUGAUAAUAAUCUUAGCUAUUCUUUAUUAUUACUAUCCUUGAAGUUGGGGGAGAGAGUGGGGAGUUUUCAGGUAAAUCAGUUUUCAAGAUGAUACUUUUGGGCAAAUUUUCCUUAAGUGAUUAACCAGGGUCACCUGCUCAGGGAGGUGUAGAUAUUUUCUAGUGAAGGAUAGAUGUGAGGUUAAAUACAACAAGGAGGAAGUGGGGCCAAGUUUUCUUUAAACCAUAAGCCUGGCUAUAAUUAUAACCUACACAUCAGAGAUAUUAUCUACAGCAGAGCUAGUGGGAUAUUAAUAAUAUAUUUCUCAGCUGUGUGACCUUCAAAAUUAGCGAUUUUUAAAAGUCAUCUAAAAGCAAUAAACUAAGAUCAAGUAAAGUUAAAGGGUUUACUUAGAUUUUCACUUGGUUUCAGUACCCCACCAUGCUAAGCUCUUUCCCAGCUUAGCAACUGAAUUCUGGAUUCAAAAUCCAAAAAUAUCAGAGGAACUCAAUUCUAAAAAGAACUGAGCCUAAUCCAAGAGAAACUAACUUACAACACUUGGGGCUCCAUGAUGAAGACAGAGGACCUCAAAAUGGUGAGUAGCACAUUGCUUGCAUUCCUAAAGGGGUCUCAGCAGUCUCUUUAGGUUCCUUCAUGGCCACCAAAAACCAUCAAAAGACAAGAUUACAAAUAAUUGAGUUUAAAUAUCUAGUUGGCUUUUAUUUGUGAUUAUAGAAUCAGGCAACACUUCAAUCUAUAAAAUAGAAUGAAUGUUCCAAUGAACAUUUGGAUGUUGGCUUUGUAGUCAGAAAAGGGCUAAAGAAAACAGAAAUUGGAAAUAAAAACAGGUUGAUCAUUUUAAAAUUACUUUUCACAUAGGAUUAAAAUAGAUUUCCUCUUAUUUCAGUCACUCAGGUUGACAGGAACCUCUUGUGUGUUUUUUGUUUGUUUGUUUUUUAUAACUGGCUUAUUCCUUUCAAAGUUCAGUUUCAUUAUGUGGUAUUUAGCACAAGUGACUUCCUUCUGAUUUGGUUGGUCUGUUGGGGCCUAGCAUAGCAGACUAUUGCAAAACAAUGGCCUCCCAUAAAAAAAAAAUUAACAAUUUUAUCAACUGCAGGCUCCCCAGUUAUCACCAACACUACCAACUGAUAAGAUAAAAUUGAGUUUAUUCUUCCUAAAGUAAGGGAGACCACACCUUGACCUCACCAAGACCCUUGGGGACAGUCUUGAAGGGAAAAAAGAAAAUUGAAAUUUAUUGAGAAUUUGAAGGUUGUUUUAAGAAGUCUUUCAAUGUGGAGAGGGGACUGAUGAUAAAAUUUAGUAUCUUUAUUUGUUUCUAUAUCCUGAAAACAAACAUGAUGUUUCUGCUAUAUGAGGGAAGAAUAAAACCCAUAGGUUUUUAGUUGGAAGAGACUAUUGAUACAAAAGACAGAUUUAUAAAAAAAAAAAAGUAGUUUAUUAACAUGUGUGUUACAUAUAUACAUGCAAAACACCAGGGAUGGCUUUGAAUGCCAGCUUAUAUAGCAUCUUCAACAAAUGACAAUAUAAUUUUAGAGGAGUGACCAGACAAAAGAAAAGGACUUGGGCUGGGGUUGUGGCUCAGUGGUAGAGUGCUUGCCUAGCAUGCAUGAGGCACUGGGUUUGAUCCUCAGCACCACAUAAAAAUGAAAUAAAGAUAUUGUGUCCACCUUAAAAAAAAGAAAGAAAGAAAGAAAAGGACUUUGGGUCUCUUGGGGGAAGGCAAAUAAAUGGCAGAAAGUGGCAAAAGUGUGACAGUGGUUACAACCUUUGUGGGUUGUCUUUUGCAUGCUUAUUCCUCCUCCCUUUGUCCUUUGGAAAUUUACUUUCUCCAGCAUUCUAAAUUCUAAAGAGAAGCCACACCUAAAUGACUCUGUUAGUCACCAAAAUAUCUGACAACUUAGAAGAGGAAAGAUUUGUUUUGGUUUUAUGGUUUCAGAGGUCUCAGUUCAUUGCUGGCCAACUCCAUUUUGAUGUGUGGCAGAACAUCAUGGCAGAAGGGUGUGGCAGAGGAAAGCUGCUCAGCUUAUGGCAACUGGGAAGCAGAGAAAGAGAGAGAAAGAGCCAGAGGCAGGGUAGAGAUUCCAAGACCACACCCUCAGAGACCUACUUCCUCCAGCCACACCUCACCCACCAACAGUUACCACCCAGUAGUUUAUUCAGCUAUCAAUGGGUUAAUUCAACAAAUGGGUUAAUCCACCAGAGAGGUCAGAGUCCUAGUUAUUGCUUAAAUGCCCCACCUCUGAAUCUUGUUGCAUGUGGGAUCACAACACAUGAACUUUUGGAGAGCAGUCCAGAUCUAAACCAUAGCAAUAAUUAAACUGUUAACUACUAAAUAAUAUUUCUUUAGGUUUAUAGAACCCAGAACCUCUGGAACCUUCAGACUGUUUCAGAACAUGUAAUGUCCCUCCUUAUUCUUCAGUUCUCUAUAUCAAUUAACAUAUAGCAUGUAAAUUGCUAUGAGGUUUAAUUUUCAAAAAAGUAAUAUAUCUAAAAAACUACAGGAACUAACCCCAGAAGACUGAGAUCCAUCAAAAUGUUCUAGUUAGGAAAAGAGGAGAGAAGGACGCUGUGGAUGAGGAAGGACCUACUAGCAUGUAGGCUUCCUCCCUAUUGUUACCUGUAUCUCUUUUCCCUCCAUUAAAAUCUCUUUCAUUUACCUGAGUUACCCAAGAUGGAGCUUUGAGGAUAAUGUCUUCUCCAACUUCUCAGGAUGCUGGCCCUUGCAUAAAACGGAUUUACUUCUCAUCAACUCUUUUCUUCCAAGUAUUGGUUUUAUUGGUGAGCAACAGGACCUGGGUCUGAUGACAAAAGUAAAGACUGUUACUGUAAAUUCCUCUGAUACAUUUUGAAAGUUGUCUUCAAUAGUCAACUUUUGGUGGAGGGCAAAGAAGGAUAGCUUUUGUCUUUGUAAAUCUUUCUUGCAUCUGCUGCUUUUUAAGCACUUUUACCUUAAUAAUUCCUCAUAUUUUGGGUGACAUAUUUAUGAUCUCUCAAACUGGAUCUAGAUAGUGAUAAAAAGGAAAUUUGGGGAUGUUUACACUACCAGGGCUGGAGGUUGGAAAGGGUAAAACAUAAAGGAAACUAAUUGAUUAACAAGUGUGGGAGAAAAUAAGACGAUUUCACAUCCUGAAUAUAUGCUGAAACUCUGACUUAAAUCACAACACUGCCAAUCCUAGGACCAUUGUUUGUAUAAAAUCUCUAUGUACUGUGAAUUCUAACUAGUCCAGAAGCAACAAUUACUUCUUAUGGACUGUGCUCCCAUCCCAAAGCUUUCCCCACUUCAUAUUAUCCCACCCAUCUUAUCUGUGGCACAUGUAGAUUCAAUGUGAACAGCCUGUGCUUUCAUUCUUCAAAUUUUUAUUAUAAAAAUACUCUGAGCUCUAGGUCAGUGGAUAUUUUUUUCAGCUGCUACCUAGGUUUGCUGCUGGUCAUUGCGGAACUGGUUCUUUUUCUGGUUAUCAUCUAUAGUAGUUCAAUGAACCCAUUUGUUUCAGGUUACUACUUAUUACAGUGAUAACUGCAUUAGUUCCAUACACCACAUUUUUUCACUUUUCUGGGAUGACAGAUAUAGAUGUGUAAACAAAGGUGACUUCUUGUAAAGGAACCCUAAAACUACGAAUCUAGCGUUUACAUAGGAUGAUUUUGCACAUCAUCCCUGUUCCCCUUCUGAAAGAGAGAAAGAAACCAAUACCCAGCUCUAAACAAAAUCUCCUUGGGAAAGAAGAAAAAGAUCACUUUAGAAUGUAAAUAAAUGUCUCUGGGGAGAGCUAAGGCAAACUUGGCAGGGUUUACAACCUUAGAAUGUCUCCAUGUCUGGGUUAUUCUCCUUUGAAUCUGUUUUUGGGUUUUCAUUUUUUUUUUCAAUUCUCCUUUGAAAUGUACACAGGGACCUCCAGGGAGGUACUUCCUAGAAGAUAAAUCUUUUUGGAGUUCACUGUGAUCCAAUUGUCCUUUAAUUUAGAAGAGUUGUUCUUUAACCCAGAUUUCAGUAAAAUUUGCUCAGCAAGUCCUAAUUAUGCAGGAAAGUGAAAAUGUUAACUUCCUGACACAGCCUUGAUUAAGACUGGAUAAGGAUCAUGAUCAGUAAUGGAAAUAAAUGAAGACCAACCAAUUGAGAACAUACACAAGCUAUUUAUUCAGAGCUCACUGUAGCAAAGGAAUUGGCCACUAUCACCUGUAUUUGGCACAGACUCAAAGGCAGGCAGAGGACUGGGAAAGUCUUGAGUGUGGAAAAAGAGAAUUCACAUAUGCCCUGGUUGGAGUCUGUUGGCAGGGAAAAAUUAUAGGAAGACUGCCCACACUUAGGGCAACCUAUGUGAUUGAUUAGUGGUACACAUUUAGCUUUUUCCAGUUGGUCCUAUAUUAGAAGCAAGGAAAGAAUUUAGGGAAAGUAGCAAGUAUUAAUCAAGUCAGGGUUGUUCGUGGCCAAUUUUGACAGCAUUAUUAUUUGGCUUCCCAGACGGUUUACUAGAGACAGGAGUCUGACUUCUUAUAAGUCUGACUUUUGACUGGUGAAAUGUAAUUCUAAGCUGGUUAAUGUCAUUAAUGGUUUGGUUUCCUCAGCUAGUUGCUACAAAUUGUGGGUCAGCAUUCUAUCUAUCUAUCUAUCUAUCUAUCUAUCUAUCUAUCUAUCUAUCUAUCUAUCUGUAUGUCUGUCUGUCUAUCUAUAUGGUAUGGCCACUGUUCAUUUGCAUAUUCAAUCCCUUAAAGAUUAAAUUUUGAGGAAAGGCAAAAUUUUUGAAGUAAGAAAGUCUUAGGAAAGAAGUUAUCAGUUGAUGCUUCCUAUUGAAGAAUAGACCCUCUUUGGGAACAUUUCUAUAGUGAACAAUUAAAUUAUUUGUUUGGAUAAGAAUAUUCUGGAACAGUGAAUUUGUGCGCAUGAGGAUAAUGGUAUAGUAGUCAUGUAAAUGAAGAAAUAGGUGGGGGAGAGUAGCAGAUAGAUGUGUAUUUCUGUAUUUAGUUGAAUGAUCUGAAGGGAAGGGAACCAAGAUUUGUUGAACAUGGCAAUUAUUACUCAAUUUUAUUCCCCUUUCCACUUUCCCUUGGCCAUGCAUGAUGUUAUGAAAAAGGUGGGAAUAUGAAAUGGAGAUUCAGAGUUUAAAUGACUUGUCCAAGGUCACAUUUAAAUUAUAGUAAAUUCAGAAUUCAAAUUCAGUUGUGGGACUCUCAAAUCUCACGCUCUUUCUAUAUUAUGCUAUUUCAAGGAAAGAGACGUCUCCAGAGAAGGGUCUGAGGAGUUCUCAAAGAGGCAAAAGAAUUCAACUCAUGACCAACAGGGAUUCUUGGCAUAUAUGACUGCUUUAGUCUGCUUUUUCAUCUCUGUGGCCAAAAGACCUGAAAAGAACAAUGUAGAAGAAGAAAAGUUUAUUUGGGGCUCACAGCUUCAGAGGUUCAGUCCAUGACUGGCUGGCUCCAUGGCUCUAGGCCUGAGGUGAGGCAGAACAUCACGGCAGAAGGGUGUGGUGCAGGAAAGCAGCCCAGGACAUGGCAACCAGGAAACAGAGAGAGCUUUGUCCACCAGGAACAAAAUAUAAUUCCCAAAGGCAUGCUCCUAUGACCUAUAUCCUCCAACUACAUCCUACCUGCUUGCAAUUACUACCUAGUUAAUCCAUAUCAGUGGAUUGAUUUACUGAUUAGGUUACAACUCUCAUAAUUUGAUUAUUUAACCUCUGAAUAUUCUUGCAUUGUCUUGCACAUAAGCUUUUGGAGGAUAUCUUAUAUCUAAACCAUAAUUGUGACAGAAAAGAAUUUCAUCAUGUGCCAGACAAAGGCAUAGACAGAGGUUUACUUAGGAAGUAGAUACAAUUCAAGGGAGAAUGCAGGCUGUCUCAACAGUGAGAAGCACCUCUUUGGGUUGGAGGGGUCCAAUGUUUAUACAGGGGCUGUAGUUAGGAGUUGGUGGAGGUGGAACUGCACAAAUUUUGUGCCAGUUUUCAUUGCACUUACACAUUUUUCUCAUUUUACAAGGGCACAAACCAAGGGCAUCUUGCUCAAGAUUUACAACUGUAUCUUCUGCAUCUCAGUAGCCUCUGGGCAUUUCCUUUGAGAGUCAGUCUCUCUCUCUCUCUCUCUCUCUCUCUCUCUCUCUCUCCUAAACAUCUAUCUCAACAUUGUCUUACAUAAAUUUAAAUAUUGCCCAAACCACCUAUUCACUGUCUUGCCAUGUGUCUAAUAGGUAUAUCCAUAUGUAUGGUUUGGAGAAGAAGAAAGAUAGUGGCAUGAUUCUGGAAGUACAGCAAAGU
Molecule: long non-coding RNA, 6501 nt
Filed under: Marmota monax (woodchuck)
Lineage: Eukaryota; Metazoa; Chordata; Mammalia; Rodentia; Sciuridae
Rfam family: tRNA (bases 1827-1895)
Source: RNAcentral